AUUCAGUUCCAAGGCUCCAGGAUAUGAACAAGGACAAUUGAGUGGGAGAAAGAGAAAUCAGUGUGCUACUUUGUGUGUGUAAUUCAAGUUGAUUAUCUGUCAUUUGCAACAGUGAAUGAUGAGCCUAACACUGGAAUAACAUUAUAAGUAAAAAAUUCUGAAACUUAAGGAGAAUAUGUAUCUUGCCAAAGAUCGAACAGCUAUGAAGUGUUUUGGGAGAACCAGAAGUAGGUUUUAGGUAUAUAUGACAAACCCAAGUAGAUAAACAUGACACUGGGACUUCUAACCCCACAAUAAACACAAUGUGGUUCUAACCAUUUAAAGAGCAGAGUGAGCCUGUAAGGCCGAAGGAUUCAGGAUCCUUGUGGUUAAACCAAUAAAUCUCCAUUUAUUCACUUGAUACUCUCUUAAGGAUCAGCUUUUAGAGAAAAUACUUUAGAAAAUGAUCCAUAUCCUUAAAGCCAUUGCCUAAAAUGAGUAAGUCUAAGGAUGUUUAUUUUUAGUGAGUUUGGAUGCCUGAGAUAGACACAGAGGCCACAAACGCUUACCACCAUCAAGACAGUCAUUGUGCUGCUAAUAAUACAAAAAGUUGAGAAGAAAUAGUAAUGGAAAGUAAGAAGAUAACUGUAGAAGACCAUAUAUGGAUAAUUGAAUAGAAGCAUUCUGUGCUAAAAGAAGAUUGAAAAAUAAGAGAUUCUUAGGUGGAUGAGGGCCAUCUAGAGACCCUAAUAUAGGAGAUUCAAAUACUGAACUCCUGGCAUCUCAUCAGGACAUUCCAUUUGACUUUACCUGGAAAUGGAGGAACGCUUGCAAAGAGUUGCUGACCCAAAAACAGCUGCUGUAACCAGCCCUGACAGCAGGAGGGGCUUCUACCUGGCCCUAAGGAAUGUGGCAUCUGAGAGACCAACUCUGAUACAAUGUGGAAGAGGACUACGCAAAAGUAUAAAUACCAAGAGCGUUGUGAGGGAAGCAGCAAAGUUAUCAUGGAUGCAUUGGUGACUUCUUAAGCACCUCAAUGAUACCCAUUCAGAUUUUGGCAAUAGCUGUUUUGUAACACCCAGUUUUACGACUGAAAAGACACAGCCAGGUCCAGUGGGAUGAAUAAAACUGCUACAAGGGAUCAUCUGAUGCUUCAGCACUCAGUAUUUACAAUAUUAAUUUCCAACAGGGACUUGACCAAUUUAGGUCACCCUAACCAUUUUCUUAUCUUCUUCCCAAUAAUAAA
Canis lupus familiaris (dog) is the source of this 1225-nucleotide long non-coding RNA. RefSeq lists it as uncharacterized. The transcript is spliced from 10 exons. NCBI's taxonomy places the organism in Eukaryota, Metazoa, Chordata, Mammalia, Carnivora, Canidae. The record is from RefSeq and is a predicted model, not a curated record.